CAGUCGACGGAGCCUUAUCAGCAGAAGCAGCCAGCUUGCUGGAAGCGGAAGAGGGGAAGGCUUAGUGGCGGACGGGUGAGUAACGCGUGGGUAACCUGGCCCAUACAGGGGGAUAACACUUAGAAAUAGGUGCUAAUACCGCAUAACAACAGAAAGCGCAUGCUUUUUGUUUGAAAACCAAGGUGGUAUGGGAUGGACCCGCGUCUGAUUAGCUGGUUGGCGGGGUAAAGGCCCACCAAGGCGACGAUCAGUAGCCGGCCUGAGAGGGUGGACGGCCACAUUGGGACUGAGACACGGCCCAAACUCCUACGGGAGGCAGCAGUGGGGAAUAUUGCACAAUGGGGGAAACCCUGAUGCAGCGACGCCGCGUGAGUGAAGAAGUAAUUCGUUAUGUAAAGCUCUAUCAGCAGGGAAGAAAAUGACGGUACCUGAGUAAGAAGCCCCGGCUAACUACGUGCCAGCAGCCGCGGUAAUACGUAGGGGGCAAGCGUUAUCCGGAUUUACUGGGUGUAAAGGGAGCGUAGACGGCAGUGCAAGUCUGGAGUGAAAGGCGGGGGCUCAACCCCCGGACUGCUCUGGAAACUGUACGGCUGGAGUGCAGGAGAGGUAAGUGGAAUUCCUAGUGUAGCGGUGAAAUGCGUAGAUAUUAGGAGGAACACCAGUGGCGAAGGCGGCUUACUGGACUGUAACUGACGUUGAGGCUCGAAAGCGUGGGGAGCAAACAGGAUUAGAUACCCUGGUAGUCCACGCCGUAAACGAUGAUCACUAGGUGUCGGGGGUUA
RNAcentral lists this ribosomal RNA (782 nucleotides) under uncultured bacterium. RNAcentral's name for it is "bacterial SSU rRNA". It matches the Rfam family "Bacterial small subunit ribosomal RNA", at positions 59 to 832 of the family's 1533-position model. The record is from RNAcentral.